Molecule: ribosomal RNA, 437 nt
Filed under: uncultured bacterium
Lineage: Bacteria
Description: bacterial SSU rRNA
Rfam family: Bacterial small subunit ribosomal RNA
Source: RNAcentral
AGCGCAACCCCUAUCCCUAGUUGCUAGCAGUUCGGCUGAGAACUCUAGGGAGACUGCCGGUGACAAACCGGAGGAAGGUGGGGAUGACGUCAGGUCAUCAUGGCCCUUACGGCCAGGGCUACACACGUGCUACAAUGGCGCGCACAGAGGGCUGCAAACCCGCGAGGGGGAGCCAAUCUCACAAAACGCGUCGUAGUCCGGAUCGCAGUCUGCAACUCGACUGCGUGAAGUCGGAAUCGCUAGUAAUCGUGAAUCAGAAUGUCACGGUGAAUACGUUCCCGGGCCUUGUACACACCGCCCGUCACACCAUGGGAGUGGAUUGCACCAGAAGUGGUUAGUCUAACCUUCGGGAGGACGAUCACCACGGUGUGGUUCAUGACUGGGGUGAAGUCGUAACAAGGUAGCCGUAGGGGAACCUGCGGCUGGAUCACCUCCUU